This 253-nucleotide ribosomal RNA is filed under the name uncultured bacterium. RNAcentral describes it as "partial 16S ribosomal RNA". It matches the Rfam family "Bacterial small subunit ribosomal RNA", at positions 524 to 776 of the family's 1533-position model. The record is from RNAcentral.
UACGUAGGGUGCGAGCGUUGUCCGGAAUUAUUGGGCGUAAAGAGCUCGUAGGCGGUUUGUCGCGUCUGCCGUGAAAGUCCGGGGCUCAACUCCGGAUCUGCGGUGGGUACGGGCAGACUAGAGUGAUGUAGGGGAGACUGGAAUUCCUGGUGUAGCGGUGAAAUGCGCAGAUAUCAGGAGGAACACCGGUGGCGAAGGCGGGUCUCUGGGCCGAUACUGACGCUGAGGAGCGAAGGCUAGGGUAGCAAACAGG